RNAcentral lists this long non-coding RNA (379 nucleotides) under Mytilus galloprovincialis (Mediterranean mussel). The record is from RNAcentral. Lineage: Eukaryota; Metazoa; Mollusca; Bivalvia; Mytilida; Mytilidae.
AUCUAACUGUGUAUGUAGAUUCUUAAAUUUUGGUCCCGUUUUCAAAUUGGUCUACAUUAAGGUCCAAAGGGUCCAAAAUUAAACUUAGUUUGAUUUUAACAAAAAUUGAAUCCUUGGGGUUCUUUGAUAUGCUGAAUCUAAAAAUGUACUUUGAUUUUUUAUUAUUGGCCCAGUUUUAAAGUUGGUCCAAAUCGGGGUCCAAAAUUAAACUUUGAUUGAUUUCAUCAAAAAUUGAAUAAUUGGGGUUCUUUGAUAUGCCAAAUCUAACUGUGUAUGUAGAGUCUUAAUUUUUGGUCCCGUUUUCAAAAUGGUCUACAUUAAAGUCCAAAGGGUCCAAAAUUAAACUAAGUUUGAUUUUAACAAAAAUUGAAUUCUUGGG